Ribosomal RNA from Cricetulus griseus (Chinese hamster), 81 nucleotides. NCBI's taxonomy places the organism in Eukaryota, Metazoa, Chordata, Mammalia, Rodentia, Cricetidae. The record is from Ensembl.
GUCUACAGCCAUACCACCCUGAAUGCACCCAAUCUCGUCUGGUCUCAGAAGCUAAGCAGGGUCAGGUCUGGAUGGGAGAAA